UUAUUGUUCAUCUGAGGGUAUAGACUAGAGAGAGAGAGGAGCUGAUGGGAGGUUAUUGUUCAUCUGAGGGUAUAGACUAGAGAGAGAGAGGAGCUGAUGGGAGGUUAUUGUUCAUCUGAGGGUAUAGACUAGAGAGAGGAGCUGAUGGGAGGUUAUUGUUCAUCUGAGGGUAGAGACUAGAGAGAGGAGCUGAUGGGAGGUUAUUGUUCAUCUGAGGGUAGAGACUAGAGAGAGGAGCUGAUGGGAGGUUAUUGUUCAUCUGAGGGUAUAGACUAGAGAGAGGAGCUGAUGGGAGGUUAUUGUUCAUCUGAGGGUAGAGACUAGAGAGAGAGAGGAGCUGAUGGGAGGUUAUUGUUCAUCUGAGGGUAUAGACUAGAGAGAGAGAGGAGCUGAUGGGAGGUUAUUGUUCAUCUGAGGGUAUAGACUAGAGAGAGAGAGGAGCUGAUGGGAGGUUAUUGUUCAUCUGAGGGUAGAGACUAGAGAGAGAGAGGAGCUGAUGGGAGGUUAUUGUUCAUCUGAGGGUAUAGACUAGAGAGAGAGAGGAGCUGAUGGGAGGUUAUUGUUCAUCUGAGGGUAUAGACUA
This is a long non-coding RNA of Oncorhynchus keta (chum salmon), 583 nucleotides long. RefSeq lists it as uncharacterized. The transcript is spliced from 3 exons. Lineage: Eukaryota; Metazoa; Chordata; Actinopteri; Salmoniformes; Salmonidae. The record is from RefSeq and is a predicted model, not a curated record.